Molecule: non-coding RNA, 116 nt
Organism: Aedes aegypti (yellow fever mosquito)
Lineage: Eukaryota; Metazoa; Arthropoda; Insecta; Diptera; Culicidae
Source: Rfam
UGUCCAGCAACCCCUAUCCCUACCUCCUCGUGGUACUGGCCGGGGAACGAGUAAUCUUAGGGAAGAUCUGGUAGUCAACCCCGGUGGGAACUCUGGUCGUAUGCUGACAGGAAAGG